UUAUGACGAGUGUGAAAAUAGCGACGGUAUUUGCAUAAGUGGAGGUUGUCCUGAUAAUUCUCAAUACAUUGGAAUGUGUGAUGAUGAUCUGUUCUGUUGCAGAAGACGGGAGGAAUGAUAGAUGCCUUUGAAAAGUGGAAGAUGCUCCCUCUCUUUGAGAGCCGCUGGAUCCCGCUUGAUCCCCAGCUAGGGACUUCUUCUCCAAAGCAUCCAGACUGAAAAAAGCAACAGUUUCAAGGCUUACUUGAGCUUGUGCCUUGCAAUAAAAGCAGAUCCAAAA
Long non-coding RNA from Podarcis raffonei (Aeolian wall lizard), 280 nucleotides. RefSeq lists it as uncharacterized. Lineage: Eukaryota; Metazoa; Chordata; Lepidosauria; Squamata; Lacertidae. The record is from RefSeq and is a predicted model, not a curated record. The transcript has 2 exons.